RNAcentral lists this ribosomal RNA (1401 nucleotides) under Triticum aestivum (bread wheat). Its description in RNAcentral is "partial small subunit ribosomal RNA". Lineage: Eukaryota; Viridiplantae; Streptophyta; Magnoliopsida; Poales; Poaceae. The record is from RNAcentral.
AUGGAGUUUUUCAGCAAGUUUGAUUGCGAGAUAAAAAAGUCUAGCUUGUGGGAACCAGUUUCUACCAGUUACCUUCCAAAUGUGACUGGCAAUUUCUUCAGAAUUCCUAGUGCCUAUUCUUUUGGGGUGCAAAUGCUGUCAAAUGCUCAGUCUAGUUCCAAACUUAUAGAUCUUGAAGGAUAUCGUACUAAGUCCGCCUCCUUGAUGAAGAUGGAAGGGAUAACAAGUGGGAAGAAGAGGAAGAAAACGUCAAUUGAGCAGCCGCUGGACCCUCCUGCAGAGAAAAUUCAUAUAAGAGGUGAUGAGAAAGUGGAAGAGGCAAUGUUGCCUGAUGCUCGUGAGAAGAAGAAAUUUACUCCUAUUCGCAGGCGAAUAAAGAUACAGGAUCUCCGGAGGCAAAUUAAAUUGGGGACCCAAAGCAGAUUUGAUGCCAAGGAGUGGAUUUGUGAAAAUUGCACUUGGACCAAUAAGCCCCAGAAGCAUUUAAUUGCGUAUCUUCCUCCUUUCUUUUGCGAAAAUUGCCAAUAUGAUCUUCUUAAAAUGGGUAAUUAUGAAUUUUCAUUUUCAAUGGCUGAUGUCACUGUAAACGGCUUUUCACCAAUUGGCAAUAUCAAGGAUCAAGGAAAUACAGAUCAUUGCACAGUGUAUUCAACCAAUCAGUGUCUUGAGAUAACAGAUAGGAUGUCAAAGAUUCUAGUUGGUAAAGAACCUGAAGGGGUAUGCAAUGAAGGGCCUAUUCUUUCUACAAAGGAUCUUUUAGCAAAGACCGAAGAUAUGAUGAUAAGGUGUAACAUCAAUCAGAGGAAGGGGGAUCAUAAAUUUAACCGCAAAACCUUAGUCGUAGCAUUUGAGGUUGCUGAAGCUGAAGGCGUGAACGUAGUAUUGACAAAAGUCGAACAAGAUAAUGAGAUGAAACCAAGGACUGUCAAAGCUUUGGGUAAACAGUUUGUGCCCUGCGAUUUUGCUAGCAUAGCCCAGAAACUUGCAGAUGGUAUCCCUCAGGUUGGCAGCUUUCUUUCGGGAAAGAAGUUGUACAACCUUAAGCAUGGUCAGAUAUACAAGGCCCCAGGGAUGCCAGAAGACGAGAAUCACAAAAAAAAGGUGGUAUGGCAUGCUGUUGUUCUUAUUGGGGCAGGCAAAAGAAGAAAGAAAUAUUUUUAUCAUUUUGUGAACUCACUAGGUGUUAAGUUUUGCCUGAGGAUACCUAUAAAUCCAUCUCCAAGACCUAAAUCCACAUGGGUUGGAGGAGUCCAGUGUGGAAAGUCUAAACAGUUUCCGGGUGGAUUUGGGAAGGUUCGCGCCAGUGAUGUCAUGCUGGAUACAUUGCAAUUUGUUAGAUAUCCAGACUCCAACACACAGAAACAGCCUUGGCUCUCGUUUAAUUACUGUGCUGUCCGUUGA